UACGUAGGGCGCAAGCGUUAUCCGGAAUUACUGGGCGUAAAGCGUGCGUAGGUGGUUUGUUAAGUCUGUUGUGAAAGCCCCGGGCUCAACCUGGGAAUGGCAUUGGAAACUGGCUCGCUGGAGUGUGGCAGAGGGGGGUGGAAUUCCGCGUGUAGCAGUGAAAUGCGUAGAGAUGCGGAGGAACACCGAUGGCGAAGGCAGCCCCCCUGGGCUAACACUGACGCUCAGGCACGAAAGCGUGGGGAGCAAACAGG
This 254-nucleotide ribosomal RNA is filed under the name uncultured bacterium. Its description in RNAcentral is "partial 16S ribosomal RNA". It matches the Rfam family "Bacterial small subunit ribosomal RNA", at positions 524 to 776 of the family's 1533-position model. The record is from RNAcentral.